GAUAACGGUGAUGAGUAUACUACAGACCUGUAAUGACUCCUGCGGAAAUGAUCGCAUGGUCAAAGAACAUCUAAGGGGCUGAGUUGUC
Small nucleolar RNA from Phragmites australis (common reed), 88 nucleotides. RefSeq annotates it as small nucleolar RNA SNORD25. The transcript has a single exon. The record is from RefSeq and is a predicted model, not a curated record. Lineage: Eukaryota; Viridiplantae; Streptophyta; Magnoliopsida; Poales; Poaceae.